Long non-coding RNA from Eriocheir sinensis (Chinese mitten crab), 1424 nucleotides. RefSeq lists it as uncharacterized. The record is from RefSeq and is a predicted model, not a curated record. The transcript is spliced from 2 exons. Lineage: Eukaryota; Metazoa; Arthropoda; Malacostraca; Decapoda; Varunidae.
AGUUAAAUGAAUGUGUGGAAAGAAUGGAAAGGAAUGUCAAUGUAGUGGUGAUGGGGGAUGUGAAUGCUAGAGUUGGUGAGGAGCCAGUGGAUGGAGUAAUUGGGAACUAUGGUGUACCUGGCAGAAAUGAAAAUGGAGAGAAAAUGCUGGAAGUGUGCAUGGAGAGGGAAUUGGCAGUGAUGAAUACAUGGUUUAAGAAGAAGGACAUGCAUAAGUAUACAUGGGUCUGAGUAGAUGGAGGCAGAGUGGUAGAUAGAGCGCUGAUGGAUUACAUGGUUGUAAGCAAGAAGAUGAGUGGAAGGGUGUUAGAUGUAAAUGUGUUGAGGGGAAAGAAUGGUGGAAUGUCUGACCAUUAUAUGGUGGAAGGAAAGCUGAGAGUGGGUGAGAGAUGGAGAAGACGAAAAGUGCAAGAAGGUAGAGAAGUGUUGAAAGUGAGUAAACUAAUGAGAAAGAGAAAGAAAGAGAGUAUCAGGAGAAAGUCAGGUUGAUGUGGAAUACAGUAAGUGAGAAAGAGGAGGAUGGGGUGGAAGAAGAGUGGCUGAUAUUUAGGGAAGGAGUUUUAAAGUGCGCAAAAGAGGUGUGUGGGAUGAGGCGUAUGGGGGAAGCAGGAGGAAAGGGAGUGAGUGGUGGGAUGAGGAGAUGAGAAUGGCAGUGGGGGAGAAGAGAGAGCAUAUGAAGAAUGGCUGCAAAGAGGAAGCUGAGGCAUAUGAGAGGUAUAAAAGGAAGAGAGUGGAAGUGAAAUGCAGUGAGAAGUGCGAAAAGGAGAGCGGAUGAGCGGUGGGGCAGAAGUUUAUCUGAGGAUUUUGAAAGGAAUAAGAUGAUGUUUUGGAAGGAGGUGAAAAAGGUGCGAGGGGGCAAAUCUGGUAGAGGAAAAAGUGAAAGGAGCAGAUGGGAGGCUGCUGGUAGAUGAGAGUGAGGUGAGAAGAAGAUGGGCUGAAUAUUUUAAAGAAUUGUUGAAUGUGGAAGAUGAGAGAGAGGCAGUGAUAGUGGCUGUGGGGGAUGCUAGGAGAGUAACUGUGAUGGGUGAGGAGAAUGAAAGGAGCAUCACAAGAGAGGAGGUGCAAGUGGCGUUGGGGAAAAUGAAAGCGGGAAAAGCCCCAGGGUUGGAAGGGUGUCAUGGAGAAUGUCUGAAAAAAGGUGGAAUCAGGAUUGUGGAGUGGUUGGUGAGGCUGUUCAACAUGUGUUUCAGAGAGGAGGCCGUCCCCUUGGAGUGGAAGAGUGCAUGUGUAGUGCCACUGUAUAAAGGGAAAAGCUGAGAACCCCCUCUGCUUGGAGCCCACUGACCUGAAGGCCACUGGCAGAUGGCACAGUGGUCAUUCCUGGAUGGACACAGGCAUUGAAUCCUCAAGAAAGUACAGGCACUACUACCAAAAUCCAUAGUAAUAAAAUGUAUUAUACAUAAUAAAAAGACCAAAGUACCCCAA